AGAGUUUGAUUAUGGCUCAGAACGAACGCUGGUGGCGUGUCUUAUACAUGCAAGUCGAGCGAGGCAGCAAUGCCGAGCGGCGAACGGGUGAGUAACGCGUAAGCAAUCUGCCCCAUAUCAGGAAAUACCCGUGCCAACGCGCGGUUAAUGUCCAGGAGAGUGGCCCUCCGCAUGGAGGGUUGACUAGAGAUUCAUCGGUAUGGGAUGAGCUUGCGUCCGAUUAGCUAGUUGGCGGGGCAACGGCCCACCAAGGCGACGAUCGGUAGCCGGCCUGAGAGGGUGAUCGGCCACAUUGGGACUGAGAUACGGCCCAGACUCCUACGGGAGGCAGCAGUAGGGAAUAUUGCACAAUGGGGGAAACCCUGAUGCAGCAACGCCACGUGUGGGAAGAAGCAUUUCGGUGUGUAAACCACUGUCAUGAGGGAAUAAGGCCCGCCUUCGGACGGGAUUGAAUGUACCUUGAGAGGAAGCACCGGCAAACUUCGUGCCAGCCGCGGC
Molecule: ribosomal RNA, 498 nt
Filed under: uncultured bacterium
Lineage: Bacteria
Description: bacterial SSU rRNA
Rfam family: Bacterial small subunit ribosomal RNA
Source: RNAcentral